Molecule: long non-coding RNA, 533 nt
Filed under: Physcomitrium patens
Lineage: Eukaryota; Viridiplantae; Streptophyta; Bryopsida; Funariales; Funariaceae
Description: long non-coding RNA (PPAT_LNC003520)
Source: RNAcentral
AAAAAAACCUUAAAGAAAUUUUAAAGAAAUAAUAAAAAAUCUUAAAGAAAUAUUAGAAUGAUCACAAAUAUCUCUCAAAUACAUCUCAAUUCAAUCUUAAUUUAAUUCUAGUUAAAAUCUUAUUGGACUUCAUUCAAACUUUAGACCAAAAUUAAUCAAAUCAUAAACCCUAAACAAACCUUAAUAAAAUCUUAAAUCCUAAAUCAAAUCCUAAAUCCUAAACCAAAUCCUAAUCAAAUCCUAAACCAAAUUCUAUCCAAAUCCUAAACCAAACCUUAACCAAACCCUAAACCCUAAAUAAAAUCCUGACCAAAUUCUAAAUCCUAAACCAAACCCUAACCAAACCCUAAAUCCUAAACCAAAUCCUAAACAAAUCCUAAACCAAACCCUAAAUCCUAAAUCAAAUCCCAACCAAAUCCUAAACCAAAUCCUAAAUAAAACCUUAACCAAACUCUAAAUCCUAAACCAAACCCUAACCAAACUCUAAAUCCUAAACCAAACCCUAAAUCAAACCUCAACCAAAUCCUAACCAA